CGCGUAGGCGGGCUUUCAAGUCGGUUGUGAAAUCCCUCAGCUCAACUGAGGAACUGCAUCCGAUACUGUUUGUCUUGAGGACGAGAGGGGAGAGUGGAACUUCUGGUGGAGCGGUGAAAUGCGUAGAUAUCAGAAGGAACGCCGGCGGCGAAAGCGACUCUCUGGCUCGUAUCUGACGCUGAGGCGCGAAAGCUUGGGUAGCAAACG
This 207-nucleotide ribosomal RNA is filed under the name uncultured bacterium. RNAcentral's name for it is "partial 16S ribosomal RNA". It matches the Rfam family "Bacterial small subunit ribosomal RNA", at positions 568 to 774 of the family's 1533-position model. The record is from RNAcentral.